Molecule: long non-coding RNA, 614 nt
Organism: Episyrphus balteatus (marmalade hoverfly)
Lineage: Eukaryota; Metazoa; Arthropoda; Insecta; Diptera; Syrphidae
Exons: 3
Source: RefSeq, a predicted model, not a curated record
UAAAAACAGCGAAAACGGCUAAAGACGGUUUAUCGGAAAUCGAUUUAAAAAUAAAUGCUCUAUCGUAGGCAUUGGAAGAUGACCAUAUCAAAACACGACACUGUAUAUCCUAAGUUGUUCCUGAAAAAAGAGAAAUCAGAGGAGCUUAUAGAAAUUACUUAAUUGGCUGCGUUCUAUGUUUCGAAGACAGGUGUACGAGCAGAAAAUUAUCGAAAAUGAAUUUAUCCUGGUUGUUAUUGCAUGUCUACAGAUUUCGGUAUUCAGAAUGUCUUCAAAAAAUGAGCUCCAGUGAGUAAACUCAAUUCAAAUCAAACGUUAUCAAUUCAAAAUUGUUCUGUCCCAUUUAUGUGAUAUUAGACCUUUUUAAUUAGGUGGCAGUAAUCUUAGCUGAAUAAUGACUUACUGGAAAAAUUCUAAAAUCACAGUCUGCCGUGCUUUGAAGCUGGCAAGUAUUGGUGCUUUAAACAUAAACCCAUGUUCAGACAGAUACAUCACGUAUGGCCAAAACAAAACCCAUCACGUUGAAGAAGUUUACAAAGCUGGGUACUCUUUCAUCAAUGUUAAUACCAAGUCCUGAUCGCUUGGAAGUUAAUUUAAUGUCCUUUGAUUUUUAU